Long non-coding RNA from Felis catus (domestic cat), 1423 nucleotides. RefSeq lists it as uncharacterized. The transcript has 6 exons. NCBI's taxonomy places the organism in Eukaryota, Metazoa, Chordata, Mammalia, Carnivora, Felidae. The record is from RefSeq and is a predicted model, not a curated record.
ACUGGUUUGUACUUCUAGUACAAUGUAGAAUUACAGUAGUAAGAACAGAUCUCGUUGCUUUGUACCUAAUCACAGGGGGGAAUCAUUCACUCUUCCACUGGUAAUUAUAAUGUUAACUGUAGGAUUUUUUUUUUUUUGUAGAUGUUCUUUAUAGGGCUUAGGAAUUUUUCCUCUAUUUCUACAUUGCUGAAAAUAUUUAUCAUGGGUGGAUUUUACAUUUUGUUAGAUGCAUCCAGCAUCUACUUAGAUGAUAGUGGUUUUUUGUUCUCCUUUAUCUUGUUAAUGUGAUGUCUUAUAUUGAUGAAUUUUCCAAUUCUAACCCAACUUUUACUUUCAUAGGGUUUCAGGGACUCUUCACAUGGUCUCUCCCUCAAGAUAGUUGGACUUCUUACAUGGUACCUCAGGACUCCCAAGAAUGAGCGUUCAAAGGGUCUUGGGCCAAAGCUGCAAGCCUUCUUUCAUCUAGCCUUAGAAGUCUUAGAAUGUUAGUUCAGCCACCUUCUAUUCACUAAGCUAAUCACUAAGGCCAACCCAGACUCAAAGGAAAGGUCAGAAGUGAUGGUGCAGCCAUAAAGAUGGAGAAUUUUCAACCUAAAAAAAGGAAAAGACAAGACCCCAGAUUAUGUGGAGUGAAUAAGUGGAGCCUAUAUCCUAAGCAUGGUGUGGAAGCAGCAGCUGCUGCCCUGAGAGACCAGACACCUUAUCUGAGGACUCCACGCACCCCUGCUUGGUGAGCCUUCAUGUUACAGAAAGCAAACCUCAUCCAGCCCUAUCCUCAAAAUACUGUCUGGGGAAUUGCGUGUUUAUGGACUAAACCUGGAUAGUACACAUGAUAAAAGAACACAGUCCCUGGAUGCAAAAUGAAUAAGUAAGAUAUACCUCACAGAAGCACACCUAUUGCAAAUCUGGAGCCUCAUGUUUAAUUGCCUUGAACUUGAACAGUGACAGAGCAAGAAAGGUAAAACACCAUAGAGGUUGCAGAAUAUCCUGCUUGAAGAGGAAGAAGAAGGGGAAGAUGUCAGCCAAGGGGACAUUUCUGCUGUGCCUUGAAGGACGGACUGAAUUUUUCCAGGUAGAGAUGGGACUGGUAGUGUGGAUCUGGAACAGCAUGAAAAAACACACACGGGUAAGAAAGGACACAGCACAUGCAGAGAAAAUGAGACACCUGGUACAUGAAAGGAAACAGCACCCAGAAAUUAAGCAUUAACUUAUUUACUGGAGAGCAAUUGAGUUACACUAAUCAGUUACUUUCUUAGAGUUUCCUGCAUGGAGGGAUGAGAAAAACCAGGGCUCAGAGUGGCAUGGAUGCAAAUCCUAGCCUACAUGUAUAAAUCACUCAUUCAAUUAUGCACUUUUUUUUUUAAGUUUUCUUUUUAAAUUUUUUUUUUUUAAAUCCAAGUUAGUUAACAUAUAGUGUAAUAAU